UACGAAUGUGGCGAGCGUUGUUCGGAAUCACUGGGCGUAAAGAGUACGUAGGCGGUUUAACAAGUCAGGAGUGAAAUCCCCAGGCUCAACCUGGGAACUGCUCUUGAAACUGUUAGACUAGAAGCUCGGAGAGGUUGGCGGAAUUCUCAGUGUAGAGGUGAAAUUCGCAGAUAUUGAGAGGAACACCAGUGGCGUAAGCGGCCAACUGGACGAGUAUUGACGCUGAGGUACGAAAGCGUGGGGAUCAAACAGG
RNAcentral lists this ribosomal RNA (253 nucleotides) under uncultured bacterium. Its description in RNAcentral is "partial 16S ribosomal RNA". It matches the Rfam family "Bacterial small subunit ribosomal RNA", at positions 524 to 776 of the family's 1533-position model. The record is from RNAcentral.